CCUACGGGAGGCAGCAGUGGGGGAUAUUGCACAAUGGGGGAAACCCUGAUGCAGCGACGCCGCGUGGGCGAAGAAGUAUUUCCGUAUGUAAAUCCCUAUCAGCAGGGAAGAAGAAAUGACGGUACCUGAGUAAGAAGCACCGGCUAAAUACGUGCCAGCAGCCGCCGUAAUACGUAUGGUGCAAGCGUUAUCCGGAUUUACUGGGUGGAAAGGGAGCGCAGGCGGCACGGCAAGCCUGAUGUGAAAGCCCGCGGCGCAACCGCGGGACUGCAUUGGGAACUACCGGGCUGGAGUGCCGGAGAGGUAGGCGGAAUUCCUAGUGUAGCGGUGAAAUGCGUAGAUAUUAGGAGGAACACCAGUGGCGAAGGCGGCCUACUGGACGGUGACUGACGCUGAGGCUCGAAAGCGUGGGGAGCAAACAGGAUUAGAUACCCUUGUAGUC
This 442-nucleotide ribosomal RNA is filed under the name uncultured bacterium. RNAcentral's name for it is "partial 16S ribosomal RNA". It matches the Rfam family "Bacterial small subunit ribosomal RNA", at positions 338 to 795 of the family's 1533-position model. The record is from RNAcentral.